Molecule: ribosomal RNA, 253 nt
Filed under: uncultured bacterium
Lineage: Bacteria
Description: partial 16S ribosomal RNA
Rfam family: Bacterial small subunit ribosomal RNA
Source: RNAcentral
UACAGAGGGGGCAAGCGUUGUUCGGAAUUACUGGGCGUAAAGGGCGCGUAGGCGGCCUCCUAAGUCGAACGUGAAAUCCCCGGGCUCAACCCGGGAACUGCGUCCGAUACUGGUUGGCUUGAAUUCGGGAGAGGGAUGUGGAAUUCCAGGUGUAGCGGUGAAAUGCGUAGAUAUCUGGAGGAACACCGGUGGCGAAGGCGGCAUCCUGGACCGGUACUGACGCUGAGGUGCGAAAGCGUGGGGAGCAAACAGG